Molecule: long non-coding RNA, 202 nt
Filed under: Vitis vinifera (wine grape)
Lineage: Eukaryota; Viridiplantae; Streptophyta; Magnoliopsida; Vitales; Vitaceae
Description: long non-coding RNA (VVIN_LNC000580)
Source: RNAcentral
UAGGAGGAAUAUCCAGCUGUCACUCUAUGGUGCCACCGUCAUGCAUGCUCAUAACAUUUCUUUUUCUUUUCCAGGUUCUCUUUAUGCUUGACAUGGGUCCCAGGUUUUUUAGGCAGAGAAAAGUGAAGCAAAAAGGCUCCAGUCGAUGGUGAUUGCUCUCCAAAGAGUCAAUGCAUGGGAAUAAUUCAUCCCACGAUUGUCU